RNAcentral lists this ribosomal RNA (520 nucleotides) under uncultured Glomus. RNAcentral's name for it is "SSU rRNA". It matches the Rfam family "Eukaryotic small subunit ribosomal RNA", at positions 569 to 1091 of the family's 1831-position model. Lineage: Eukaryota; Fungi; Glomeromycota; Glomeromycetes; Glomerales; Glomeraceae. The record is from RNAcentral.
AGCAGCCGCGGUAAUUCCAGCUCCAAUAGCGUAUAUUAAAGUUGUUGCAGUUAAAAAGCUCGUAGUUGAAUUUCGGGAUCGAUUAAUUGGUCGUGCCUCUGGUACGUACUGAUUUUAUUGGUUUCUCCCUUCUGACGAACCAUGAUGUCAUUAAUUUGGUGUCGUGGAGAAUCAGGACUGUUACUUUGAAAAAAUUAGAGUGUUUAAAGCAAGCUAACGCUUGAAUACAUUAGCAUGGAAUAAUGAAAUAGGACGUUUGAUCCUAUUUUGUUGGUUUCUAGGAUCGACGUAAUGAUUAAUAGGGAUAGUUGGGGGCAUUAGUAUUCAAUUGUCAGAGGUGAAAUUCUUGGAUUUAUUGAAGACUAACUACUGCGAAAGCAUUUGCCAAGGAUGUUUUCAUUAGUCAAGAACGAAAGUUAGGGGAUCGAAGACGAUCAGAUACCGUCGUAGUCUUAACCAUAAACUAUGCCGACUAGGGAUCGGAUGAUGUUAAUUUUUAAUGACUCAUUCGGCGCCUUAC